This 243-nucleotide long non-coding RNA is filed under the name Hordeum vulgare. RNAcentral describes it as "long non-coding RNA (HVUL_LNC018116)". The record is from RNAcentral. Lineage: Eukaryota; Viridiplantae; Streptophyta; Magnoliopsida; Poales; Poaceae.
AGAAAAUGGUUUUCUUCAUUGCUCAUUUACUUUCAUGAUUUAUCAGAAAGUUUGAACUUUUCUUGAGGCCAUUUUGGGUUCAUUGAUUUUAACUAGUUUGAGAUUUCCUUUAUUUAAAGAAGUGGCUAGGGUUUUUGAGCUUUCCUUCAUCACUUUCUUUGUUCUUGUUGAAAUUUUCUUAGAUGCAAUGCAAAGAAGACAUGAGCACAAGACUAACUUGCUUAAGGUGUCAGGGAUGUGACA